UACGGAGGGUGCAAGCGUUAUCCGGAAUGAUUGGGCGUAAAGAGCUCGUAGGCGGUCUGUCGCGUCUGCUGUGAAAACCGGAGGCUCAACCUCCGGCCUGCAGUGGGUACGGGCAGACUAGAGUGCGGUAGGGGAGAUUGGAAUUCCUGGUGUAGCGGUGGAAUGCGCAGAUAUCAGUAGGAACACCGAUGGCGAAGGCAGAUCUCUGGGCCGUAACUGACGCUGAGGAGCGAAAGCGUGGGGAGCGAACAGG
Molecule: ribosomal RNA, 253 nt
Filed under: uncultured bacterium
Lineage: Bacteria
Description: partial 16S ribosomal RNA
Rfam family: Bacterial small subunit ribosomal RNA
Source: RNAcentral